AUUGUUUUCUGCUGUUCCGUAGCAAGAGAGUACAUGUGGAAUUCUGUUCGGACAGGACAGAACAACGACUUUCAUUCUGCGAAAAUGGCUAAAAUAUCGUUGCUGAGAGUGCUUCUCAAUGAACGAUUAACAGCAGUUGCUGAUGAGAUAUUUGGGGCUGUUGAAAAAACGGUGGCAGAGUACCAGGAAGAAAUCUAUCGUUCUAAGGAGGAGAACGAGAAGCUACGGAGGCUGCUUGAUAUCGUUCUUAAACCAGAUAUAAAGUUGCAUAGAUCGGACCUACAGCAGCUCACUGUCUCUGAAAAGGUUCCCCCUGAACAGCAGCACUGUGAACAGGAGUUGAACCCCAGUCUGGGGCAGGAGGACCCAGAGCCCACACAGAUUAAUGAGCAGGAGCUCAGGACUAGCCAUGGGAGAGAGCAGCUUCAUGCUCUGGAGUCAAAAGACCCUAAUGUUAUAUUCACAAUUGCUUGUGUCAAAAGCUUGUGCCAGAAUCAGGUCUCAACUGAGCCUUCACAUCUUUACCAAACCCAAAGUGAGGAAUAUGAACAGGGACCCUCUCUACCAAGCACUUCAAUAGAACAGAUCAAAACAGAACCUGAUGGAGAGGGCUACAUGUCAUUAGAACCAACCAGUGAACCUCAGCCCCUCUCUGCAUUUAAUCACUAUUCUGCUGUUCAGCGUGAAAACAGAGUAAUCCUCAGUGUAGAUCGUGUGGCGAGUGGAGAGCUUCCAUCAGGGUCAAAGCCACCGGAAUCAAAGAGAGCACAGAAUCGAGGCCCUGCUGCUGCCACAGGCCAGGCCACAGCAAGCCAGUCCCUGGACCCCACUCUUUCCUCACUACCUUUCCACCACCCAGCUGUGCCCCGGUCCAUUGCAUGGCGCCAAAAGAGGAAGGGGGAGGAAUAUGCACACGCCCAGCAGCAGGGCGCUCUUUACCCAAAACGCUCAAAUGUAUACCGCUCGAAGGUACAUCCUGACAUUUCCAUUCCUCAUCUGACACCAGAAUAUGACGAACUGCUCACCAACCGCAGCGGGGGCCGUCCGGACCGCUAUGCUGUUUUGCUAUUCCGUGCAUGUGUAAGCGAAGAGAGAUACCGCGAGUGGGAACAGAAUACCAACUGGGAUGGAUCACGAGGAAAAUUUGGCUUGCCAGUGAACCUCCGAAUGUUCAUCAGGACCACUGUGUCUCAGAAGUUUCCUUCCAUGAGUGAUGUAACCCGAAAAAACAUAAAAGACAGAGUAAAUGAGUACUUGAGGUCACCGAGGAAGUCUGGACAUGGACUGCUCUCGCUUAUCUAAGGAAUUAGGCAUAUUGCAGACCGAUCUCAUAAUCACUUCCUUUCCUAGCUGAGCCUGUUAUAGUUUGUGACCCUGUGUUACCCAGCACAGUGAGGGGAAAGAAGCAGUGGACUGGGCCAGGCUGGACUGGUUCUGAGCCAGGCAGAUGGUUGGUCCUGGCAGCAGGAAAGAAAAAAGACAACAUGAAGAUACAUCCAAUGUAGUGUAUAGUGCAACGACAUACGGUGCCUUCGGAAAGUAUUCAGACCCCUUGACUUUUUCCACGUUUUGUUACAUUACAGCCUUAUUCUAAAAUGGUUUAAUUUGAAAAAUAAUACUCAUCAAUCUACACACAUUACCCCAUAAUGACAAAGCGAAAACAGGUUUUUAGAAAUUUUAGCACAUUUUUUUUAAAUAUUUUUUUUUAUAAAUACCUUAUUUGGGCAUUUAAAAUGUAUUGUUUUGGGCAUUUAAAAUGUAUUGUUAUGCUUAGACCUCUUGACGUAAGGACUAAGGCAGGGGUGUCAAACAAAAUUCCUGGAGAGGCAAGUGUUUGUGGGUUUAUUAUUUUGGAACUCCUCUCACCUGGUUUUCUAGGUCUUAAUUGAAAAUUAAUUUAAAGGAAAUAACCCAAUAGACACGUGGCUCUCCAGGAAUUGAGUUUGAAACCUCUGGACAAAGGUGUAGGACUGAUUGUCAUAGGGAGUCCCAGCCUGGCUACCCAUCAAAUUAGCUUUUGUAGGAUAUUAUGCAGUUAAUCUGAAGAUAUAAUUAUGGUAGACUAAUUAUAUACAUACAUAAUAAAUUAGGAUUGAUUUCACCAGAAUGUCACCUUGAGGAACAUCACAUCAAGGACAAAGAACAGCUUAUCCAAGUUUGCCAGCCUGGGGUGUGCACCACCCAAGAUGAUGGCUUUAGGUCUGGUGUGUCCUGUCCAUGACCUAUGAAUGUAGACACAGAGAAUGUGGUUGCAGAGCAUAAAUACAGUCAUUACAGAAAACCAUUACAUGCACCUUCCUGAUGCCUAUUAAUAAUUUGAACAAAAAUGUUACUUUCCAUCA
Molecule: RNA transcript, 2342 nt
Organism: Salvelinus fontinalis (brook trout)
Lineage: Eukaryota; Metazoa; Chordata; Actinopteri; Salmoniformes; Salmonidae
Exons: 4
Source: RefSeq, a predicted model, not a curated record